GAUGAACGCUGGCGGCGUGCUUAACACAUGCAAGUCGAACGAAGCACUUUAUUUGAUUUCCUUCGGGACUGAUUAUUUUGUGACUGAGUGGCGGACGGGUGAGUAACGCGUGGGUAACCUGCCUUGUACAGGGGGAUAACAGUUGGAAACGGCUGCUAAUACCGCAUAAGCGCACGGCAUCGCAUGAUGCAGUGUGAAAAACUCCGGUGGUAUAAGAUGGACCCGUGUUGGAUUAGCUAGUUGGUGAGGUAACGGCCCACCAAGGCGACGAUCCAUAGCCGACCUGAGAGGGUGACCGGCCACAUUGGGACUGAGACACGGCCCAAACUCCUACGGGAGGCAGCAGUGGGGAAUAUUGCACAAUGGGCGAAAGCCUGAUGCAGCGACGCCGCGUGAGCGAAGAAGUAUUUCGGUAUGUAAAGCUCUAUCAGCAGGGAAGAUAAUGACGGUACCUGACUAAGAAGCACCGGCUAAAUACGUG
RNAcentral lists this ribosomal RNA (481 nucleotides) under uncultured bacterium. RNAcentral describes it as "partial 16S ribosomal RNA". It matches the Rfam family "Bacterial small subunit ribosomal RNA", at positions 28 to 507 of the family's 1533-position model. The record is from RNAcentral.